Long non-coding RNA from Lathyrus oleraceus (garden pea), 1761 nucleotides. RefSeq lists it as uncharacterized. NCBI's taxonomy places the organism in Eukaryota, Viridiplantae, Streptophyta, Magnoliopsida, Fabales, Fabaceae. The transcript has 2 exons. The record is from RefSeq and is a predicted model, not a curated record.
AUAAAAAAAAUAAUAAAUAUGUGGACAGCCCACGUGACCCUCUAUCUUCUCUCUGAAUCCUCUAAAAAAAAGACCUUUCCUCUUCUUCACUCACAAAAAAACCCUAGCGGCUCACUCUCUCCAACGGCUUCAUUCGUAAAAACCUAGUCGCCUUCCCUCUUCUUCCCCACAAAAAACCCUAGCCGCCACCUUCAUUUUCAUCAUCUCCUUCACCGAAAUCCUUCUUCCACACACUCACUCUCCGCCGCCACCCUUCAUUUUCUUCAACUUCUUCACUUCAAAAAAACCUAUCGCCGCUCCACACCAUCUCGGAAAACCCUUCCGCUCAAAAUUCAUUUCAUUCCCUCAACACAAAAACCCUUUCCGUAAAAACUUCAAAAUCCCAAUCGCUUCCGUCAUCUCCUUUCGCACCACCCCUCUCCACCGAUCUUCUCCACCGUACACCGAACCUACUGCCGCCACACGCCAUUUACCCACCACCAUAAACCCUCCUUCAUUCCGAAACCCUCACUCUCUCAAACUUGAAUUUUGAAUCGCGAUCCAUCUCGUGCAUCUAAUUCCAGUUUUGGAUCCUCAACCGUCAGUCACGCGCACGACGACGAUCUGUUCGUGAUAAGAAGGGACAGUCUAGUAUACGAUGGUGAUUUUGCAUCUAAGUCGGAGAUUUCUUCUCCGCGCCGGUUUAUGACAAACCAGUAUACGAUGGCGAUGCUUUUGAUGGGGUGCCUGGGUUGAAGAGCAUGACGAAGUUUAGUUUUCAUAUUUGUCUUCGUGUCCGAAAAUGAAAAGGAGUUUGGUUCUGGCAGGAAGGGAUUGUAGAAAAGGAUAAAGUUGUUUCUGUCUUUAACUAUUUACUACCUGGAUUCGAAAGAAAACAACGGUAACCUCUACAUUCUGAACUCAAUAUUCAAUCCAAUCCAUUUUUGGUUCAAAAACAGUGGUUAUUAUCGUUUAUUUUUGGGUGUUUGUAAAUGGUCUUUCAUAGUUUUUUUGAGCAGGGUUCUGUAGAGUUGUUGUUGCCAUGAUAUAUCGGUUUGAUUUCGUUUUCGUAACUUUAUGACCACUGUAAUCUAAUUUGGUGUUGUUGCAACUGAACUUUGUUUUGUCGGUUUCGAGUUCGUAAAGCUUGUUUCUCCUUUCAGUUCGUAUUGAUAUUUGUUGUUUUGCUUAUGAUUUCUUUGACUGAGUUUUGUUUUCCUUCUAGUGCUGUUAACGGUCCUUUACCUGGUUUUGAAGGAUUUGGAGGUUUUGAGUUUAAGGGAUGACCCUUUCACUGGUGUUGUUCCCAGUUUCAUUGGUUAGCUUGAAGUUGCUUAAAGAUUUGAAUUUGACUAAUAACUUGUUUCAGGAUCCUGUGCCUGAUUUUGGUGCUGGCCUCGUCGUGGUCUUUGGCAUUUGCCUUAGCUUAAAGUUUGUAUUUCUAUUUGUUUCCGCAUCAGAUCAGUUAUGCAGGUUUGUUGCAGUUUAGGAUUGGUAUCGGCGCCGGCAUGCACAUUGGAGCGUUUGGAUCGUGGCUUUGCUUUUGAAAUUGGCAGAAUUGUUAUUCAUGAAAGUGAUACUGUUGAAAGUGCUCACAAGGAAAUUGCUUGGCGUUUGCUUAAGGGUGCUGCUAAUUGGCAAAGGAGCCUUUUGAAUCUGCCCUAUUUUGAUAUUAAAUUUUAUUAAGUCUGUUUUGUGUCUUGGUUUGGGUGUCAAGUUUUUAUGUUGUUUCUGUUUGAUUAUUCAAAUUGAAAUCUAGUUUUGCUUGAAACCUUUUCAUUA